CGCCAUCCAGACUUGUUGAGUCUUCCCUGCGCGCGAUUCCGGGUUCCCCGCGGGCCCCAUCAUUGUCCUGGGGGGCGCCUGGGUGGCUCAGUCGGUUGAGCGUCCAACUUCACCUCAGGUCAUGAUCUCACAGUUGACAAGUUCGCGUCCCGCGUCAGACCACUCCGGAGCCUGGAGCCUGCUUCUGAUUCUGUGACUCCCUCUCUUCUUCUCCCCCGCUCAUGCUCUGUCUCUGUCUCAAAAAUAAAGAUGAAUAAAUAAACAUUUAAAAAAAUUAUGUAUACAUGUACUUUGUACUAUUCUGUACAUUAUGAAACAAAUACAAGAGAAUCUGAAGGGAGUGACAAAUGAUAUAAAUAAUUUAUGUUUUAAAAUUCUUAUUAGCGGGGUGCCUGGGUGGCCCAGUCGGUUAAGCGUCCGACUUGGGCUCAGGUCAUGAUCUCGCAGUUUGGUGAGUUCGGGCCCCGCGUCAGUUUCUGUGCUGACAGCUCAGUGCCUGGAGCCUGUUUCAGAUUCUGUGUCUCUCUGUCUCUGACCCUCCCCGUUCAUGCUCUGUCUCUCUCUGUCUCAAAAAUAAAUAAACGUUAAAAAAUUUUAAAUUCUUAUUAGCAAAAUAUUAAGAGUAAUAGAUUGUUUAUAUUUUUAAAAAUAUUAAUGUUAUUUUUUGCCUGUUUCAUGGGAGAUCUGACUAGCUAGUCACAGUUUUUAUCAUCUAAAGAGAUUUUCUGUAACAACUGUCAGCUUGGCCAUUUCCUUGUUUGCUUAUGCUUACGUUAUUAGUACUCUCUUAUAGGACUCCUUUUAGCCACUUGUUCAUUUGGCAAGAGUUCAGUUAGAAGUGAAUAUUCCAUAAUUUUGCUCAACCAGGCACUCUCAAAUGGCAGUAAACCACAGUAGGCCCAAAGUGAAUAAAUACAACCAUCUGAAAAAGGACACCAGUGUCAACUUAUGUAUUAAAUAUUAGUAAAACUUACUUUUUAGGGAAAAGAAUAAGAAACUAAAAUAGAAGUUGCACUAUUUUCUUCUCACACCUCCCCAGCCCCCAUCAUCUUGUACAUUCCCUGAGAUAUGAGCACUCUGCCUAUGUUACCCCUGCUCUAAAAAAUAGAAAUACAAAACAAAACAAAAAGGUCUCAAAACUCUUGUAUUUCAACGAAAGAACUUGUUUAAAUUUAAAAACUUUAUAGGAGUAAUCAGAGAGUAAAUUGAUAUGAUCACUUUAGAAAGCUGGCCUGGUCGUCGGUAGUUAAACACACGCCCAGCUUGUAAUUUAGCAGUCUGGUCUAGGCAUAUAUCCAGGAAAAAUGAGUGUUUGUGUCCACCAAAAGAUUUGUACAAGAAUGCUCAUACAUGGCAGCUUUAUCCAUAAUAGCAGGAGAUUGAAAACAACCCAGGUGUCCAUCAACAGGAGAACGGAUCAGCAGAAUUGUAGUAUAUUCGUGCAGUGGAGUACUACUCAGCAGUAAAAAGGAACAAACUACUGAUGCCCACAAGAAUAUGGAUGUAUUUCAAGAUUUUGAGGUUGAGUGAAGAAAGCCAACACCAGAGCGCACAUUCUGUAUGCUAACCAUGACGAUCAAAACAGGCACAAUUGAUCAGUGGUGAUUAGUUCAUGGUGGGUGGAGGAGGAAGCCCUGAAGGUGUUCUGUAUCUUGAUCUGACUGGUGGGUACCCAGAAGUGUACAUGUGUAAAAAUAUAUCAAGCUGUCCAUUUAAGAUUUGUGCACCAGACUGUAUAUGUUAUACCUCAGCUUAAAAAUGCAUACUUUGUAUGAAGUGGGGAGAAAGAAUCUAAUACUCCAAACUUCUUCACGGAUUGAAUUUCACCAUUCUUGGCUUUCAGUGAGAAGUUUUUUCCCUUUAAGACUUCAGUGCUACCGAUUUGCAUCUUCCUGUUCCCUUUUGACUAUUUUAGAAACUUCAUUUACUACUUCACAGCUUUUUCUUUACAUUUCUUUUUAGUUCUGGUUUCUGCCUCUGUCCUUUGUUUAUAUAUUAGAGUCUUUCUGUUCCUUUCAUAUUAAAUCAUUGCUCCUCUUAUUUCUCAUCUAGCUCUCAACCUCUCGCUUGGUAAAACUUAAGAAUACAGCAUUUGACCUACCAUUCUAUGACAUCUUGAAGAGCUAAAUGCUUAGUGAGCUUUUGUUGAGCACCUAUUGUGUGUAAGACACUGUGCCUAGGUAUAGUUUUUCAUUUUUCUACCAACAGAUUAAAUUUGCAGCAACUUAAAAAUAUUAUAAUUAAAUCAUUAGUGUUUCUGUGCCUUGUAUUAAUACAGAGGCUGAGAAUCCUUAGUUUCUGAUCCGUUGCACUUUCUGUUUUUUAUCUUUGACAAUAAACUGUGAACCUUUAUUUUUGGAGACCAGGCUACAUCGCUUCAGGGAAUCACUUGAGACUUAAACUUUUUUUAAUCUCAACAUAAAGUAAGAUGUUUACACGUUCCAUUUCUUUGGCGUGAGUCCAAACGAGUCCGUCAUUGUUUCAUUCCUCAGGUAGAGUGACACAGAUUCAGUCAGCCUUUCCCCCAGGGACUGUAUUCGUGUUGCAAGGACCUGGCAAAUUGUCUCCUUUUCUUCUGCUUAACUCUGGGAGCAAAUAGGCAGCUUAAACUCUCAAUACGAACGUGUACAUUUUCCAUUGCUCCCAUUUCACCCAGGUGAGUCUGUAUUUCUGGCACAUCCCCUUUGGAAUGCCCUAAUGACUACUGUUUUCCCCAUGAUUUGUAAAAUGUUAAUUCUCUGAAGUCAGGUUUCUACUCUAUGAGAUUGUAUUUGAUUCUUUUGGAAAAGGAUUGAUGGUUUAAAAUUAUAUAUGACUAUUGAAAAUGUCUGUUAGCAUAAGAAGAACAUUGUAGGCUUGUAAAUAGGGUAAACAUAAUAGGGGAAGAGCCCAAAUGCUCCUUUUUAUUGGAAAAAGUUAUCUUCGAUUGCAGAAGAUUGCCCAGAUACUCAGUCAGAAGCUAGUCUACUUGAUAGCUAUUAGUCCAUUGCAAAAUGGCUUUUUAUCCUUUAGAGCCGUGCUACUGGAAGUAUGGUCUGUGGCCAGGAUAGGUGACAGUGACAAGAUAGGUGCAGAAAUUGAGAGUAAAAGUUUAGAAACUUUUUUUUUUAAGUUUAUUUAGUUUUGAGAGAGAAAGAGAGUGCAAGCGGGGAAGGGGCAGAGAGAGGGAGAGACAGAAUCCCAAGCAGGCACUACACUGUCAGCUCAGAGCCCGACAUAGGACUUAAACCUACCAGCUUUGUGAGAUCAUGACCUGAACCAAAACCAAGAGUCGGAUGCUUAAGUGACUGAGCCACCCGGGCACCCCUUGUGAAUCUUAUUUUUAAAAUGAGGCUUGUAUUUUAUAUGCCUUUAAUUUUAUUUUUCUAAUAAUUACUCUUUCAUGUAUUUUAUAAAAUGCCCAUCUGUAACAAAUUAGAAAUUAAAAACAAAAAAAUGCUGUUUUUUUUCACCACAAAUGGAGUACUGACUAUAGAGAGCCCUUAAAGGUCAGUAGAGUUCCUUGCAUCUAAAACUACCUGCUCAUACUGUGAACUGAUUUUUAAAGAUUUUAUAUUUAAGUAAUCUCUACCCAAUGAGGCACUUGAACUCACAACCCCAGGAUCAGGAGUCACAUACUCCUGACUGAGCCAGCCAGGCACCCCUGCUUAUACUGUAAAUUAUUUAACCUAUCUUUAACUAUUUAAAAGAGAGAAUGGAUUAACCUUUAUGUUAUAAAUACCUCAUGUCUGUAAAAAAAUUUUAUUACAUAAGUAAUAAUGUUCAUUGUAGAAAGAUUAAUAUCCCUCUACCUAGUAACAAGCAUCAUGAAUAUGCACCUACAUGUGUAAGUACAUAAUUUUUAUAAUACAUUCAGUUUUGCAGCCUUUUAUCCCCACUUAAACACUGUAUCUUAGAUGUCUUUCAGUGGCAGUGAAUGUAUUUCUAUAACAUUAUCUGUAAUAGCCAUCUGGUAAUUUAUGGUACAGACCUAUUUGUUAUAAAUUAUAACCAUAUUUACCAUAUAACCAUAUAUAACUUCCUAUUAUACUGAUAUUUAGGUUAUUUCCAGUUUUUUAUACUGUAAAAUAAUACUCUGAGACACAUGCUUUUAGCUAAACCGUUAGUUACUUCUUCAGGAUUGGUAUCUGAGAAUCACAUUUCUUAGUCAAAGGGCACGUGCAUGUUUUAAAACUUUGGAUUUAUAUUGUCACAUUGCCCUCCAGAAAAGUUUUAACCAUCUUAACCAGUAGCAGAAUAAGAAAAUACCUGUUUUCUCACAUAUUCAUUAAAAGGAGAUAAUUUAAAAUUUAAAAAAUGUUUGUCAACCUAAUAAAUACAGAUAUUUAAUAGAAUUAAUUUCCUCGUUGACAAUUGAGGCAGAAUAUAUAUGUCGUAUAUGACACAUAUCAAAUCAUGUAUCUUAUAUGUCUUGAUUACAAAUUAGGAUGAAUAUAUGAUAACACUACUCUAAGGUAGAUAGUCCCAUAAGAAAACCAAGACUUAAGAAAUUCACCUAAGGUUAUACACUGAGUGAAGUGUGUUAAUCCUAGACCAUUAAGAAUGCCACAGGAACAUAAGAAAUGUGAUAACAGGGGCUCCUGGGUGGCUCAUUCAGUUAGGUGUCUGGCUCUUGGUUUUGGCUUAGGUCAUGAUCCCAGCGUCCUGUGAUCCAGCCCCACAUCGGGCUCUGUGCUGACAGCACAGAACCUGCUUGGGAUUCUCUGUGUCCCUUCUCUCUCUACCCCUCCCACACACACGCUCUCUCUGAAAAUAAAUAAAAAUAAACUUUAAAAAAAUGUGGAAAUAGAUGAGGUGAAGGAACUCAAGAAGCAUUUGGCACUGUGUAAGAAGACUGUAUGUAUAUUAUAUAUAUUACAUAUGUGUAUGUAUAUACGUAUGCGUGUGUGUGUGUGUGUGUGUGUGUAUAUAUAUAUGUAUGUAUGUAUGUGUAUGUAUUAUAAGCUACUGGGAGGCCAGCACUCUCAAGUCAGAAAACGUUUAUUGUGACAUUUGUUAUUAUUUUUCUCUGGUCUGUGUCUUUGAAAGCCCUUUGACACAAGGCAGUAUAAAAGUAAAUAAGAUAUCCGUUAUGCAUAUAAAGAAAGCAGAGCCCAUGAAAAUCCAUUCUGAAUGAAUAGCAUAGUGUUGACUUUAGUUUUAGGUUCUAAAACCUUUAUGUGUGAUGGAACACAUAGACUUUGAAGAGCAGGUAUAACGAGAGUUACCGGUUCAGUAGAGCCUAGAAGCUAAAUCAUAAGGACUACUACUAGCCUGUGUAGCUUUUUGCCAGUUUACUGCAUUCUUAAUCCCUAUAACAGCAUUUUCCUGUGUUAUUUCACUGCUGUUCAUAUAUGUAAUUGCUUCUCAGCUAUGGUAGUAAGUGAAUUUUUCUAUUAUAUCUUUUUACCACUAGGAAUUUGCUGCAGUUAGGUAAAUAGCUGUAUGGUCACAGAGAGCUACAUAGAGGUAAAAAGAAUGAAGUAAUCUAAAAUUGGUGAGCUCAAGCCUUUAGAAGGAUCCUCCAGAUACCUGAACAAGAUUUCCUACGAUAUUGGGAAGAACAACGAAGCCAAGAGUUAAAAGACAACAUAGUUCAUUCCACCACUGUCUCGAUUUGUCAGGUUUGGGCAUCUUUUACUACAACCUCAUUGUAAAAUAGGGAGGAUGAUAAUUCUUACUCUCUUUCCCUUUUUUUCUUGGAAUCAAAUAUUGAAACGUGCAUGAAAUAGUGUUUGCUAGUUAAGGAUCAUAGAUGAUAUAUCUGUUCUGUCUAACUUGUAACCAAAGAAAUUCAGUGAAAUAUUUGUGUUUAUCAAAUUCUUACUCACUUUCCCUUCUUCUUCCCUAGUAAUCAUGUGUUAAAAUGUACAUGAAAGAAGUGUUUGCUAGUGUACUACCCAACAGUCACCUACCAGGAACACCAAACUCCUUACUGUACAAUGCUAGAAACCUAGUAAAGUCUCAGCAAAUGCUUUUGUGGGAGGGUGGGUGUCUUUCAGUAGUUUCCUCGUGGCUUCAUGAGUUAGCUCUAGGCUCUAGCCAUUGUAGGGACUUGUCAUUGUUACCCCUUAUUCAGAUUCCUGAGUAUGAUGGCCAUUUCUAGAGGUUCCAAAUAGUUUCAGUAUUUGGGGGGCAAACUAAGUUGGACUAUGUGGCAUACAAAAAAGGCCUCUGAAUAAACUACUCAGUCCACUAGAUCACUGAAAUGCAAGCUCUGAGUGGAUUCUCUAAGUCUGAUUAUAGUCUGUAAGGCCACCCAGAAGUGGAGGUUAUCUGGUUUUCAAAGUAUAGGAGAGCCCAUGGUAACAACAAAGUUACCUCCAUGGGGACUGGAAAAUUCUUGAUAGCAUAGCAUUAACUUCUAGGUUUUUAUUGCAAAAUGUAUUUAAGAUGAGAGCUGUUAGAAGUGCUGGGUAUGUUAGGUUCAGAGGUGGUAAGCAAUGUAAAAAAGAGUGUCACAGAAGAUUCGAAAAUUUUUAUGUAGGAAAAAAUGUCAAAAAAUAAAUUCAUCGCUUUAGAUCUCUUCUUCCUUUUUCUUUAUCACUGAAAUAGAACUUUUAUGCUAAGGGCAUCUUUAACUUAGGAGGAAAUGCUUAUUCACAGGGAGCAGUAUGACAGAUUCUUGGUUCAUUUUUUUUUUUUAGAAUUAGCAUAUGUUGAGUGAAUUGAAAAUUAAUUCCCUCUAGACCUCUGUUUGACUUUCAAAAUGAGACCAGCUAUUUUCAAACAAGGCAUAUAACUGUUCUUAUUUCCUUCCUCGAACUGUGAUGUGAGGAUUAAGUCAAUAAUUUCGAAAAUAUUUAGAUCUUAGCAGUGAGUCAUCGUUGUUGCUUGAUUCUGAUGCAGUCUAGUCUGAUGGCUUUCAGCCCCGCCCCCCUUUUUUUUUUUUACUAUAGCCCAUAAAUACUAAUUUCAUACACGCACAUAUAUAUACGUACACACACACACCAGAAAAAAGUUUUCACCAAAUCAUAUUAUAUGUGAUGCAUUCUGAUAUUUUUAUAUUUUUAUUUUGUGUAAAAUCAGGUUGUAACUCACUAAAUCACUUUCACUACCUAUAGUUUGAAAAAAGCACUGAUCUGGUCUGUUAGGCCAAAGGGAAAUUGAUCUGUGUGAGUUUUGCUUGUGUGUAUGGAUUUUGGAGACGAGUUAGCAGUCCUGAGCUUUUUAUUCUGCUGUAGCCACAGUCUUACAUGAAAAUCACAUGGACGUAAGAAAAGAAAGUUACAUUAUUUUAGGUCAUUUAACCAUCCAGGCCAGUUUUUCCCUUGAUCUCAAAAGGCUUGGUAUAUAAAUAUAGUGUUUCUACUCUCAUCAUCCUUCUAAUCUUUAAACUGCACAUGGAUCUACAACUUUGUUGACGCUAAUUAUAGCUUCAUAUAUAUGCCUUCUUAAGGAUAUUAAGCUCCAUGUAUUUCUUAACUAUCCAGCUACAGAACAGUGUUUGACUACAUGGUGUUCCCUGGAUGAUAGUAUUGAAGCUCUGGGGAUUUCUUGAGUUUGUGAGGCUAGCCUGGAGGUAUCAGGCUAUCCAGGACUGAGGAUGAAGGGCUUUUGUUAAGUCCAGAAGACUUGUACUUGGGGGGGGGGGGGGGGCGGUGUGGUAGUUUCUGAAGUGGGUGUAAAGUCACGGGACUAACACGUUUCUAAUGGUUCUGUAUUUCUUUUUCUUUAAUUUUUUGAAAUGUAUGUUUAUUUUUGAGAGAGACAGCUUGAGCGAGGAGGGGCAGAAAGAGGGAGACACAAUCUGAAGCAGGUUCCAGGCUCUGAACUGUCAGCACAAAGCCCGAUGUGGGGCUUGAACUCACAAACCGUGAGAUCGUGACCCAACCCACCUACUGAGCCACCCAGGCGCCCCUAUAUUUCCUUUUUAAAUCACUUUGUCUAAUCAAAAAGAGACUUCUUGCUAUUACUAGAUACAGCAGCCUCAGUAGAGAGAGAACCUAGUAUUGAGGAUAGUAAGGCAUUCUUCAGUUUCUGUAAAAGAUACCUUUCUGAAAAGAUACAGUAAGCAGUUUUAGAUCUCACAUCUGGCUGAUUGACUCACACAAAACGAGUACACUUCUAUGAGAGAAGAACCCCACUGUACUAAAUGGAAUUUAUCUUGGAACAGAAAGGGUACGAUUGGGUUAAUCUUCAUGUUAUGCCAGGUAUUCAAGAGCUCUGGUUGUUGUCCAGCUCAGUCCCUCUGUCACUGCUGGGGUCUGCUGGUUCUACCUUGUGGGAGGCCAGGUGGAGGGAAGAGACAGAGCCUUUGCUAGAGUUAUGAAGUAUGGUUUCCACUGUUUGUUUUUAAUAAGUUCCUUGUCUGGGGCAAAGAUUAUUUGACUCCCAGGGAUCAGGUAACCCAGAACAAACGUGUCCCUUGUUUUUCUGUUGUCACAAGAGCAAAUUACAGAAGUAGAGCAGUUUACCAGGAGUGGGCAGUUGGAGAAGUUUGCCGAAGUGAAAUGGAGGUGACGGUGACCGAGGACUCCUCCUUUGUCCGUGAAAAUUGUUUCUCAUUCAGUGUUACUGUAAACUCUGGAAGCCUUUGACCUCCCCAUUUCCUCUUGGUCUGUCCACUGCCUCUGGGCUUCCCUUCCUUCUUACAUGAAGGAACCCACAUGAUCACUUGAACUGCUCUCCCCCUUUUUACUCUGAUAACAUUCAUUCUAGAAGCCCCUUCCUGGCCAUUCUUCUCGCCUGCCUUUUCUGCUCCAGCAAAUGGUCUCCUGCAAGCAACUGGCUGUAAUCACAAAGACUUGCAGCCUGGGCCUGCCCCCCCCCCCCCCCCCCCGCCCCCGAUUGCUUUCAUCUGGGCCCCCAGUGCUGGUCAUGGUUCUUCUCGCUGGUGGCGAGAUACUUUCAUUGUCCUCUUCCAGCUCAGAUUCUUUCCCCUCAUUUUCAGCAAAUUCUCUUACUUUCAGGUUUCACGUGUUCCUUUUCAGGGUGAAGUAGAAGAGCAAGAGUCUUGUGGGCAGAUGAAGCCACAUCUGAGUAGAUGAGUAACCUCGCGUAGGUUACCUAAUCCCUUCGGCCUCGAUGGACUCAUCUGUAAAAUGGGCACAAUAACAACUUUUUCUUAUCAUUUCGAGGAUUCUGAACAUAAACAGCCUGGAGUUUAACAUGAUUAAAAAAUCGUUUCCCUCCCCAUCACCUCUUCCCUGUGCUGCUUAUUAAGACCCUCCUCUUGCAUGACUCCUCCCUUUUCCUUCUUUCAUCAACAUUCAGUAAAUAUUUUUUGAAUCUUUGCUAUAUCCCAAGUGCUCUAACAGGUGCUAGGGUUGACCUAAACAGCCUCUUCCCCUUGACGAAUUCUUUCUCCUCAGACCAGAAAUGGUCCUCUUACUGUCUCAUUCUUCCCCCUCCCCCAAAGGUCACCCUGAUGUGCUGAUUCAGAGAGCACUCCAUCCUUACUUUGCCUCGGUGGAAUUUAAUACUGCCUUUUAAAAAAUACUCUUCCGAGGGGCACCUGGGUGGCUCAGUCGGUUAAGCGUCCGACUUUGGCUCAGGUCAUGAUCUCGCGGUUCGUGAGUUCGAGCCCCGCGUCGGGCUCUGUGCUGACAGCUCAGAGCCUGGAGCCUGUUUCAGAUUCUGUGUCUCCCUCUCUCUCUGACCCUCCCCCGUUCAUGCUCUGUCUCUCUGUGUCUCAAAAAUAAAUAAACAUUAAAAAAAAAUUAAAAAUAAAAAAUGCUCUUCCUUUGUUUGGCUUCCCUCAUGUAUUGCUUUUCUUGAAAGGUUCUUCUAUUUCUCUGUGCCUUUGUAGUGUCUUUUUCGACUUCAAGCCACCAUCUUCAGAAUAAUAUCUUCUAGACCUCUGUUUCAGGCCCUGACUCAAAUCCACACCUCCGUUUUCUGACUAAUAGCCCCGGUACCACAAGUUCGUGGUCUUCCUAAUCUAGUCAUCCCUCCCUACCGAAGUAUUUCUUUUUCUUUUAAUGUUUAUUUAUUUUUGAGGAAGGGAGGGAGACAGUGAGAGAGAGAGAACGAGCAGGGGAGGGCAGAGAGAGGGGGACAGAGGAUCUGAAGUGGACUCUGCACUGACAGCAGUGAGCCGGAUGUGGGCCUCAAACUCACCAACUGCGAGACCGUGUCUUGAGCCAAAGUCAGAUGCUCAACCAACUGAGCCACCCAGGCGCCCCUCAAGUUUUCCUAUUUUAGUAAAAAAUUACUAUCCGGCCAGUCACCCCCCAAAACAAAGACCUCAGAUUAUCCCAGGUGCUCUUUUUUCUUUAAUUCCCACAUCUUACUUGGUCACCUAAUGAUGUCAAGAUGGACUAAGGUUCAAGUAGAGAGAAGUGCUGUGAAAUCGGACUCCUGACACGGCGCAAGGCAAAGUAGGGGUGCUGCGCGCCUUAGAACCUGAGACAUGGUCGUGCUGUGACAAACAGGAUGUAAUUUCAGCAAAGCAAUAGGACAUCAAAUUAAUGUUAUUAAUUUGGAUUUUAUUGCGGUCCUUUUAUUUCUGCUUGAUAGACAAAUUAAUCGUGGUUUUAUAGUAUAUGGUUGUGAGUACAAUUGUUAUCUUUGUGCAUGUUUCACAACAUUAUCAUAAAACUUUAUGGGGGUCUGCAAGAUUUUGUUCCCUUUAAAAAUAAUUCUAGUUGACCCUUGAACAACAAGGGGACAGGGACUAGGGGCACCAACCCCCACAGUCAAAAAUCCAAGUAUAAAUUUUUUUUUAAGUUUAUUUAUUUCGACAAAGAAAGAGGGUGAGCACAGGAGGGACAGGGAGAGGGAGAGAGAGGGAGAGCGAGAAUCCCAAGCAGCCUUUGCACUGUCAGCACGGAGCCCCACAUGGGACUUAAACCCCCAAAUGGUGAGAUUGUGACCUGAGCCGAAACCUGGAGUCGGAUGUUCAACUGACUCAGCCACCCAGGCACCCCCAGGUAUAACUUUUGACUUUGUAAAAACCUAACUACAAAUAGCCUCCUGUGGACCACAGGCCUUAUGAAUAACAUAAAUAGUUGAUUAGCACAUAUAUAUGUUUAUUAUAAUAAAGUAAGCUAGAGAAAGACAAUAUUGUUAGGAAAAUCGUAAGGAAGAAAAAAUAUAUUUACGAUACUAUAUUUUUUUGAAAAAAAUUCAGGUAUAUGUGGUCCCGUGCAGUUCAAACAUAAGAUGCCAUGUUUGUUAAGGGGCCUCAACAAACUAGAAUGAAUUCUUGACCAUGAGGGAUCUAGAAAUAAAGACAUAUAAGGAAAUAAUAAGAGAUGUGAAUGUUUUGUAAAAGAAGGAAAGAUGUACAUAGCGAUGGUAAUUUUCAAAUAUUUAAGGGACUCCUACGAAAGAAGAAAUAGGAAGUACAGGAGAGCAGAAAGAGCAUGUGCUCUGGAGCUAAGGACAUACGGGUUCAAAUGAUGCUCUGCCACUUACCUGUGUGACCUUGGGCAAAUUACCUAAUCUCCCUUAGGCUCUUCUUCUCUAAAGUGGAAUUAGUGUUAUCUACCCCCACAAAGUUACUGAGAGAACUUAUUUAAAGGUACCUAACACAUGGCUGAACCUAAACAAAUACUACUUUCUUCUGUCCUCUGAUAGUUUUUACAACUAGAGUUAGGGGACAAAUUUUUUUUAAAUAAUUUAUUGUCACGUUAGCUAACAUAGAGUGUACACAGGGUAGUCUUGGCUUCAGGAGUAGAUUCCCAUGAUUCAUCACUUACAUACAACGUCCAGUGCUCAUCCCAACAAGUGCCCUCCUCAAUGCCCAUCACCCAUUUUCCACGCCCCCUCAGCCCCUGACCCCCAUCAAUCCUCAGUUUGUAUCUAAGAGUCUCUUAUGGUUUGCCUCCCUCUCUGUUUGUAACUUAUUUUUUCCUUCCCUUCCACUAUGGUAUUCUGUCAAGUUUCUUGAAUUCCACGUAUGAGUGAAAACAUAUGAUACCUUUUUCUGACUGGCUUAUUUCACUCGGCAUAAUACCUUCCAGUUCCAUCCACGUUGUUGCAAAUGGCAGAAUUUCAUUCUUUCUCAUGGCCAAGUAGUAUUCCAUUGUGUAUAUAUACACCACAUCUUCUUUAUUCAUUCAUCAGUUGGUGGACAUUUGGGCUGUUCCCAUAAUUUGGCUAUUGUUGACAGCGCUGCUAUAAACAUUGGGGUGCAUGUGCCCUUACGAAUCAGCACUCCUGUAUCCUUUGGAUAAAUUCCUACUAGUGCUGGGGACCCAGCUCUUGUUGGGUCAUAGGGUAAUUCUAUUUUUAAUUUUUUGAGGAACCUCCACACUUUUCCAGAGUGGCUGCACCAGUUUGCAUUCCCACCAACAGUGCAAGAGGGUAGGGGACAGAAAUUUUGAGGGAACUGAUUUAAGUGGGCUUAUUUUAAGGAAGAAGAAUUAAAUGAAAGUCUUAGCAUUAAUUGUUGAGAGCUUGUAUGCCAUUUCUUCUUAUAUACCAUCACAAUAACCCUGUGCUGUUGAUGUUCAUGACCCCCGCCCCCUGUCUUUACAUGUGAAAAAACUUUCUGAACUUGAGAAAGAUUUUAAACAUCUUAAAAAUUGCCCAAUUACAGUAAAUGAUAAACCUGAUACUGGGCUCCACAGCCUGUAUUCUAAACCAUUCCAGUACAUUGUGUGGUUUAUCUCUGGUAAUGGAUGUUUAUUCGUCCAUUCAUUGAACAGCUAUUUAUCGGACACAUCCUCUACUCCAGGCGGAGUUUAUAGUGCAGAACGUGACCCAGAGGUCGAAGGGGAUAGGGAGUGCUGGCAGUGGUACAGAGGAAGCAAGGGUCUUGCUGUGUCGUAUAGCGAGUGUUCGGGGAAAGCCUCUCUCUCGUAGGACAGCAUUUGAACUCAGAGAUCUGAAGGAGAGAGAGCCCUGUGGAUAUUGUGGGGAAAGCAUUUUAGGCAGAGAAGAGCAAGUUUCUCAGAAGUAAUCUUUUUAUUAAGAAUAAGUAUUUUGGGGGCGCCUGGGUGGUUCAUUCGGUUGGGCCGCUGACUUUGGCUCAGGUCAUGCACUCCGUGAGUUCGAGCCCCUCAUCGGGCUCUGUGCUGCCAGCUCAGAGCCUGGAGCCUGCUUCGGAUUCUGUGUCUCCUUCUCUCUCUGCCCCAUCCCCACUUGCACUCUGUCUCCCUCUGUCUCAAAAAUAAAUGAACAUUAAAAAAUUUUUAAUAAAAAACAAAGAAUAAGUAUUCUUAACCAUUUUCACUUAGUUGUUUUUCUAGAUUGACUUUAGCAAUACGUUGAAUGAAUUUCAAGAGAAAUCUCAAUGGAAUUUUAGUUUGAAGUGAAUUAAAUUGUAAAUUAAUACGAGGAGAAAUGACGCUUUUACCAAUAUUGAAACAUUCCAGCCAGAAAUAUGGAAUGUUUCUAUUUUUUUUUUCUGUCUAGUAGAGUUUUGAGGUUUUCUUCCUAAAGGAACCACACUUCUUAAAAAAAUUACUGGGUGUCAUUUGCUGUUGCUGAUGCUUUUAUAAACUGAAUUUUAGUUGCUCAGAAUAAGAACCUUGGCAUCAUCCUUGACUUAACAGUUUUUUUUACUCCCCAUACCUAGUGUGCUGGCCAACCCCGUUCAUUCCCACUUCAGAGUACAAGCAGGUUGCAAACCCUUCCACCGCCACCAUCCUUGUCUAUACCGCUAUUGUCUCUUUACUGUUCUAGUAGAUUUCUAGCUGCUCUCCCUCUCCACCCCUGCCCUCUGAAAGUCUCUUUGCAGCGGUACAGCAAGGGCAACAGUCAUCCCGUUAACAUAGAGGGUCGACCAGCCUCCUCCCUUCCUUGAUAUAGCCCAGCCCUAGCCUCCUCCCUGUUCCUUAUACCCGGGUCACAGUGCUGCCUCGGGCUCUGUCCCGGCUCCCUCCUCCGGGCAUCACCCAGAACCCCUCCAGUCUGUUCGGGCCUGCCACUUCCAAUGAGAGAUUUUAAACCAUCCUGUUGACAAUUACAACCCUGUCCUUGACUCAUUUUGUACAGCUCUUUUUUCAUAUUCUUACAUACUAAAUAAUUUACUUAUUUAUUAGAGUUAUUUGCUGUUUUAUUUUCCCCCUUGAGGGCAGGGAUUUUUGCCUCUUGUUUGUUGGUGUAUCCUUAACACUUAGAACAGUGACUGGCUCACAAAAAACAUUUAGUAAAUAUUUGUAGAAGGACUGAAUUCAGCCUUUUUCUUUUAUAUUUUCAAAUCUGGUCUCUGGUGAUAACAUGCCAAGGCUUUUUUUUCACUUAUUUGUCAUCCUGCUAUACUUUAAUUCUGUUUUUCUAGUGAUAUACUUUUUCAUAAAUCAUAUGCAAAUUAUGAUUCUUUUGUCUUUUCUGUUGCAAUAUUUGUUUGUUGGAAAGUGGGGUAGGAAUUAUCUUAAUAUAUUAACUAGAACUUCCAGAACAGUGUUAAGCACUGGAGGCAAUUGACAUCUUUGCCUCCUUCCUGAUUUUUAGGAAUAUAUCUUGUUUUAUUACUGUAUUUGGAUUUGGCUGUCUUCAUUAUGUUGAAAUAUUCUUUUAUUCUUGUUUUUUAAAUAAUUUUUAUUAAGAAGUUAAAUUUUGGGGUGCCUGAGUGGCUCAAAGUGUUAAGCUUCCAGCUCUUGAUUUCAACUCAGGUCAUGAUCUCAUGGUUCAUGAGUUCGAGCCCUACGUCAGGCUCUAUGCUGAUAGCACAGAGCCUGCUUGAGAAUAAACUUUUUUUUUUAAGUUAAAUUUUGCCAACCGUCUUUUUACCAUCCGUUGUAAUAAUCAUAUAAGUUUUCUUUUUUAGCCUUUGUAUUAAUUAUAUAAGUAGAUUAAAUAUUAAAUUAUACUUGCAUACUUGGAAUAUACCUUACUUUGUCUCAGUAUAUAAACAUAUCUGUGUGUGUGUGUGUGUGUGUGUGUGUGUGUGUUUUAAGAUGUAAUUCAAGUGCCAUAAGAUUCAUCCUUUUAAAUUGUGCAAUUCAGUGGUUUUUAUUAUAUUCACAAGUUUUGGUACAGCCGUUAACAUUAAUUCCAGAACAUUUCAUCACCCCAAAAGGAAACCCUGUAUUCAUUAAGCAGUCACUCCCCACCCACCCAGACCCCGACAAUCACAAA
Long non-coding RNA from Acinonyx jubatus (cheetah), 14952 nucleotides. RefSeq lists it as uncharacterized. The transcript has 2 exons. NCBI's taxonomy places the organism in Eukaryota, Metazoa, Chordata, Mammalia, Carnivora, Felidae. The record is from RefSeq and is a predicted model, not a curated record.